Molecule: ribosomal RNA, 1404 nt
Filed under: uncultured bacterium
Lineage: Bacteria
Description: bacterial SSU rRNA
Rfam family: Bacterial small subunit ribosomal RNA
Source: RNAcentral
UUAGAGUUUGAUCCUGGCUCAGGAUGAACGCUAGCUACAGGCUUAACACAUGCAAGUCGAGGGGCAGCAUGAAAGUUUGCUUGCAAACUUUUGAUGGCGACCGGCGCACGGGUGAGUAACACGUAUCCAACCUGCCUCAUACUCGGGGAUAGCCUUUCGAAAGAAAGAUUAAUACCCGAUGUCAUAGUCCUACCGCAUGAUGGGAUUAUUAAAGAAUUUCGGUAUGGGAUGGGGAUGCGUUCCAUUAGUUAGUUGGCGGGGUAACGGCCCACCAAGACAACGAUGGAUAGGGGUUCUGAGAGGAAGGUCCCCCACAUUGGAACUGAGACACGGUCCAAACUCCUACGGGAGGCAGCAGUGAGGAAUAUUGGUCAAUGGACGAGAGUCUGAACCAGCCAAGUAGCGUGAAGGAUGACUGCCCUAUGGGUUGUAAACUUCUUUUAUAUGGGAAUAAAAUGUUCCACGUGUGGGAUUUUGUAUGUACCAUAUGAAUAAGGAUCGGCUAACUCCGUGCCAGCAGCCGCGGUAAUACGGAGGAUCCGAGCGUUAUCCGGAUUUAUUGGGUUUAAAGGGAGCGUAGGUGGAUUGUUAAGUCAGUUGUGAAAGUUUGCGGCUCAACCGUAAAAUUGCAGUUGAAACUGGCAGUCUUGAGUACAGUAGAGGUGGGCGGAAUUCGUGGUGUAGCGGUGAAAUGCUUAGAUAUCACGAAGAACUCCGAUUGCGAAGGCAGCUCACUGGACUGCAACUGACACUGAGGCUCGAAAGUGUGGGUAUCAAACAGGAUUAGAUACCCUGGUAGUCCACGCCGUAAACGAUGAAUAUUAGGUGUCGGUGAGCAAAGCUCAUCGGUGCCGCAGCAAACGCAAUAAAUAUUCCACCUGGGGAGUACGUUCGCAAGAAUGAAACUCAAAGGAAUUGACGGGGGCCCGCACAAGCGGAGGAACAUGUGGUUUAAUUCGAUGAUACGCGAGGAACCUUACCCGGGCUUAAAUUGCACCUGAAUAAUGUGGAAACAUGUUAGCCGUAAGGCAGGUGUGAAGGUGCUGCAUGGUUGUCGUCAGCUCGUGCCGUGAGGUGUCGGCUUAAGUGCCAUAACGAGCGCAACCCUUAUCUUCAGUUACUAACAGGUCAUGCUGAGGACUCUGGAGAGACUGCCGUCGUAAGAUGUGAGGAAGGUGGGGAUGACGUCAAAUCAGCACGGCCCUUACGUCCGGGGCUACACACGUGUUACAAUGGGAGGUACAGAAGGCCGCUACCUGGCGACAGGAUGCCAAUCCCCAAAACCUCUCUCAGUUCGGAUCGAAGUCUGCAACCCGACUUCGUGAAGCUGGAUUCGCUAGUAAUCGCGCAUCAGCCAUGGCGCGGUGAAUACGUUCCCGGGCCUUGUACACACCGCCCGUCAAG